AUGCAAACUCGAUCACUAGCUCUGCGUAAUGUAGCAGAAGCUAAGGGAACCAGGUUUGGUAAAGUAAUUGUGGGAAUGUAUUUGCCUCAGAAGCAACUGAGGUGGUCCCUCCCAUCCGAGAACACAG
Molecule: small nucleolar RNA, 127 nt
Organism: Dipodomys spectabilis (banner-tailed kangaroo rat)
Lineage: Eukaryota; Metazoa; Chordata; Mammalia; Rodentia; Heteromyidae
Source: RefSeq, a predicted model, not a curated record